RNAcentral lists this ribosomal RNA (442 nucleotides) under uncultured bacterium. RNAcentral describes it as "partial 16S ribosomal RNA". It matches the Rfam family "Bacterial small subunit ribosomal RNA", at positions 338 to 795 of the family's 1533-position model. The record is from RNAcentral.
CCUACGUGUGGCAGCAGUGGGGAAUAUUGGGCAAUGGGCGCAAGCCUGACCCAGCAACGCCGCGUGAAGGAAGAAGGCUUUCGGGUUGUACACUUCUUUUAAGGGGGAAGAGCAGAAGACGGUACCCCUUGAAUAAGCCACGGCUCACUACGUGCCAGCAGCCGCGGUUAUACGUAGGUGGCAAGCGUUGUCCGGAUUUACUGGGUGUAAAGGGCGUGCAGCCGGAGAGUCAAGUCAGAUGUGAAAUCCACGGGCUCAACCCGUGAACUGCCUUUGAAACUGGUUCGAUUGAGAGUCGGAGAGGUAAUCGGAAUUCCUUGUGUAGCGGUGAAAUGCGUAGAUAUAAGGAAGAACACCAGUGGCGAAGGCGGAUUACUGGACGAUAACUGACGGUGAGGCGCGAAAGCGUGGGGAGCAAACAGGAUUAGAUACCCUAGUAGUC